Long non-coding RNA from Arabidopsis lyrata subsp. lyrata, 5239 nucleotides. RefSeq lists it as uncharacterized. The transcript is spliced from 26 exons. The record is from RefSeq and is a predicted model, not a curated record. Lineage: Eukaryota; Viridiplantae; Streptophyta; Magnoliopsida; Brassicales; Brassicaceae.
AGGUGUUUCAGUUAUAAUCUUCCAUUUAUUCAGAGGAUAGCUCCGACCGGGUAUCAAAAUCAGAAAAGGAAUAACUUUGUGUGAGCCUGUUGAUUUAUCUAUUAAGGAGUUGAUAAAGAGACUUGAAGAAGUUCACGCCAUAGAAAGCAUAAAUUCAACGUAUAAAUUAAAUAAGGAAUCUUUGUUCAAGUGGAUUAGAAGGACCAAUAGCCGUCUCAUUUAGAAAUCUUCCCUUCUUGAGUCAUUGAAUUUGAAAGGAAAUAACUUGACUGGGUUUGUCCCAAGAUCUCCAAGGAAAAGAACAAUGGCUGGUGGACUUGCACUGAGAGGUACAUUUUCUUGUCAAAACCCCGGAACCAUAGUUAUCUUUCUUAGAGAAUUUGUGUCUCUACCAGUUUCUGAAGAUUGUUAAUGUCCUCUAUGUUUCCAGUGUGGAUGAACAUAACAUUUGUCACCCACGUUCAUGUUAGGAUGGGAACAAAAUCAUCGUGCCAAUAGUUGUAGCCACAUUAAUGAUCGUUCUCAUUUUGCCUUGGUUGUGAUAUGCAUCAUGCAUGGCACUCAGCUGGAACUUCCGUGUCAGUCAAGGACUGGAGGCCCAUUCGGAACAAUGAGGUUUGAUGCUGAGCAAGCUCAUGGAGCCAACAGUGGUAUCCACAUUGCUCUUAGCUUGCUGAGGUUGUGGCUGUUGAAGUUACUGGUGGCCCUGAAAUUCCUUUCUACCCUGGAAGAGAGGUUAAUCAUUGCUGAGAGUGUGUGUUCUGCUUUCUUUGUAGAGAUGGCUGAUUGAUAAUUUAUACAUUCUCUCAAUCUUUGUAAUACUGAAACACUGUGGGACUUGAUUGUCUGUUUCUAACAUGCAUAUCUUGCUUUCAGGACAAGCCCCAGCCACCUCCAGAGGGUCGUCUUCCUGAUGCUACAAAGACUUUUGAUCACUAGAGAGAUGUCUUUGCUAAGCAGAUGGGCUUCUCUGAUAAGGACAUUGUCGCUUUAUCUGGUGCCCACACUCUAUUUCUCCAUUUCAGAGCUAACAACACUUGUGAAAAAAGGUCAUACUUGUAAGCAAUGACCUUCACUAAUAAAGGUCAUUGCUUACAAGUGAAGAGAUCCUUAAGUUGCAAAGAACAAAAGGGAGGCAUACAAAUGUUAAGGUCAAGUCUCUUCCUCUGUCUCCUUUACAGCAAUUAGACACGUCGGAUAGAGGCUUUCACUAUCCCGAAAAUGUUUACUUCCAUACCAUUCUAUAUCUCUUACAAGACGUUUGUCUAUUUUCUUUUUAUCUUUGAAUAAGAAUUAGAUAAGGUGAACUAGAGAAGAUGAAGCUGACUUGCAAUUUCCAGCAACUUCCAACAAUGUGAGCAAGCAACCAAAUGUCGACAGGGAGGAUUCUGUAAGUUUGUCAUUUUUUGGUUUUAAUGAAUUCAAAUAUUCGUUCUAUGUUUAAGCUGCUUGUUAUUAACAAAUGUUCUUUGGUUUCAAGCGCUUCUUAAGUUGAAAUGGAUCUUUUGAAAAAAGGUUUCGAGAUGAAGGAUUAUUUAGCUGCAAAGAAGUUUUGAAGACCAUUUAGUAGCCAAAAAAGGUAUGGUUAAGUAGCUCUCUCUCUCACUUAUCAUGUCUCUUGCAGUGUCUCAAAAACGGAGCAUCAAUUCAUUAAAACACACUCAAACGCACAAAAAAAAAAAUCAAACACACAAAAAUUAGUUAAAGUCACCAAAAAAAAACGAAAUUCAAACGCACAAAGAAAAAACAUACCACACAACGUUCACGAAACAGAAAACAUAAUAUAAAUCCACGAAAACCGACACUUGAACGUACACAAAAAAAACACACAACGAUUAAUUAAAAGUUACACACAAACAAAAAAAACAUAGCACACAACGUCCAAACGCAAUCUUAAAAACAGAAAAUAGCUUUCAUAGAAUUUUUGUAACAAAAUGUGUGAAUAAUCACAUCUGAUGUCAAGAACUUGCUUUGUUCCCUUGUUUCUUACUUUAUUAUCUACUUGCAUUAGUAUAGCUUGUAUUAACUUAUUUUUUUCUUCAAGCGAAAUGCAAACAUGCUAUAUAGUUGAAAAUGAUUUCGUGUACAUGAGGAUGGUUUGCAGUUUAAACCAGAUUUUUAUAAGAAAGAGCAAAAGUUUCAGAUGCGUUUCAAUAUACUCAUGAAUGAUAAGGUAAUCUUGUUAAACCAUAAAUGUGACUUUAUAUAAAAUUACUUUAAUAUAUAUUUUAAGUAUUCAUGAAUUCCAGUUAUAAUUUUUCCUUUAUUUUGAGGAUAGCUUCGACCGGUUAUCAAAAUUAAAGAAGGUUAGUACUUUAUAGUUUUGUGUUUUUUCAUAAUUAAGUUGUGUGGUUAUGUCUGUUUGAUGUAGACAUUGUUCAGUAUUUGGUUUAUAAUAUCCUUUAAUUGACUUAAUUGAUGUGUAACUUGCAGGAACUACUUUGUGUGAGCUUGCUGAUGUAUCAUUAAGGAAUUACUUAAUUGAUGCUGCUGAUGCAACCAAAACAUAUAUUUUCACUUUCUUUUUUGAUUCUGUUUAGGCACAACGAUCAAGAGUGGGUGACAAGAGGGAUGCUGUUUCUGAAAUCUUCUUAUCUUGCUUUCAAUUAGUUUCUAGAUGAUGCAGGGAAAGACAAGCAUGUAUUUCUAUCUGUUCACGCAAUAGAAAGCAUAAAAUCAACGUAUAAAGUGAAUAAGGUUUGGACUGGUGAUCCUUUCUCUCCAAUACUAUUCCCUUGGGAAGGUACUUUUAAUUACCAUAUCAAGUCCCUGUAAGUCAUUCAUUUCAGCCAGACAAUAACUCAUUUUUGUAAUCUCCUUCUCUGAUAAUUCUGUUGAUCAGCUUGUUUUUGUUUUUCUUGAUGCGAGAAUGAAUCUUAGUUCAAGUGGGUUGCAGGGACCAAUAGCCUUCUCCUUUAGAGAUCUCUCCCUCGAGUUAUUGGAUAUCAAGGAACAACCUGAGAGGGGAUUUUUUUACUGAUCUAAAGGAUUUGAAAGGAAAUAACUUGGAUGGGUUUGUCUCAAGAUCUAUUAGGAAAAGAAGAAGGGCUGGCUGACUUGCACUGAGAGGAGGAGCGAGCUUUUUUUGACAGUGCAUCAUCGGAACUUGGUUAUUUGGUUUCAAGAGCUUUCUUACGUUGAAAUGAAACUUUUGACAAAGGGUUUUAAGAUGAAGGAUUGUUUGGCUGCAAAGAAAAUCUUUCAGUAGCCAACAAAGGUAUGUAUAGUUAAGUAGCUCUCUUUCUCUCUCUUUCACUUAUCAUGUCUCUUGCACUGUCUCAAAAGUAGAACAUAAAUCCAGGAAAACCCACAAUCAAACGCACACAAAACUAAUUUAAAGUCACCGAAACACAAAACGAAAUUCAAACACAAACAAAAAACAUAGCACACAACGUCCAAAUGCAACUUCAAGAAACAGAUAACAGAACAUAAAUCCACGAAAACCCACACUCAAACGCAAACAAAAAUUAAUUAAAAGUCACCAAAACACAAAACGAAAUACAUAGCACACAACACCCAAACGCAACGUCAAGAAACAGAAAACAAACUUUCACAGGAAAUUUUUAACAAAAUGUGUGAAUCACAUUUGAUGUCAAGAACUUGCUUUGUGACUGUAUUAACUUAUUUAUCUUCUUCAAGUGAAAUGCAAUCAUGCUAUUUAGUUGAAAAUGCUUUCGUGUACACGAGCAUUGUUUGCAAUUAAACCAGGUUUUCAUAAGAAAGAGCAAAAGUUUCAGAUACGUUUCAAUAUACUCAUGAAUGGUAAGAGGUUUCAGCUAUGAUCUUCCAUUUAUUCAGAGGAUAGCUCCGACAGGAAAUAACUUUGUGUGAGUCUGAUGAUGUAUCUAUUAAGGAGUUAAUAAAGAGACUUAAAGAAGGCACACCGAGCAAGAGUGGGGGACAAGAGGGAUGUUUUAAAGAUUGGGUAUGAAUUCAGUGGAGGCCAAUGCAAUGGAAAAGCUCCGACGUUUUCUUUGGAUAGAGUCAUGUUCUGUUCCCAGGGUGCUACGAAAUUUUGUGACCAGCUUGCUUUCAGAAACUUGACGAUGCAGAAAAAGAGAAGCAUGUAUUUUAUCAUUUCUAUCUGUUCACGCCAUAGAAAACAUAAAAUCAACGUAUAAAGUGAAUAAGUUCAAGUGGGUUACAAGGACCAAUAGCCGUCUCAUUUAGAAAUCUCUCCUUUCUUGAGUCAUUAGAUUCAUAAAACAACAACCUAAGAAGGGAAUUUCUGGCUGAUUCUGAAGUUCUUUAAGGAAUUUGAAUGGGUUUGUCCCAAGAUCUCAUAGGAAAAGAACAAUGGCUAGGGGACUUGCACUGAGAGCAUUUGUCAACCACGUUCAGAUUCGUCGUGCCAAUAGUUGUAGCCACAAUAGAGAUCAUUCUCAUUGUCGCCUUGGUUGUCAUAUGCAUCAUGUUUCCUAGUGUAUUCAGGACCACUUCUGCCUUCGGGAAAGAGAAGGUUCACAUGUAGCAUUACAAACAACUAUAAAAGUGAUCGGUUACGGAGGGUUUGGCAGAGCUUCUUUUGACAGUGCAUCUACGAAACUUAGCUUGGUUUAUUGGAUAUUGCGAUGAUGGUAGCAGUAUGGCUCUCAUCUGCGAGUACAUGGCCAAUGGCAACUUCCAACACUCAUUUUUGAGUAUUUAUUGUAAGGUUAAAAUUUAUAAAUAUGAAUGAGAGAAGCAAGUAAGCAACCUCUUCUGGGAAUUUUGGUUUAGAGCAUCAAAGAAUUUCAAUUUGGAGAUGACUUGGUGUAGCCAAGAACAAGCGGCUCUUGGAUGGUGUAACUGAGUUACGGUAACUAUCUUUUACCUCUCAUAAAAAAAAAACACAAACCCACGAAAACAUAAAACACACAAAACAAAAAAUCCACGUGCACACAAAAAUGCAAUAAAAAGUGCAAAAACAAACUUCACGUUCACGAAUCACGACCACAUAAACUCCACAGCUUCACGAUCACAUAAACUCCACAACUUCCACGUUUACGAAUCACGAUUACAUAAACUCCACAACUUCACGAUCACAUAGAGUUUUGCUUCCUCUGACAAUUUCAAUUUUGAUUUUUUCAAAAUGACUUGUAUAAUUUUAACUCAAUUCUUCUUGUUUUAAUAUUCUUUUCCCAAUGUAUUUUGAGCGUCGGUGAUGUAAGUUGUAAAGCUUCUGGUUAUCAGUUGUAUUUUUUUUUUGUGCAAACAGCUUCUUGUUAUCAGUUAUUACAUUUUUAAGUUGUUUUUUUUA